GCGGCAGGCUUACACAUGCAAGUCGAGCGGGGGAAGGUAGCUUGCUACCGGACCUAGCGGCGGACGGGUGAGUAAUGCUUAGGAAUCUGCCUAUUAGUGGGGGACAACAUCUCGAAAGGGAUGCUAAUACCGCAUACGUCCUACGGGAGGAAAGCAGGGGAUCUUCGGACCUUGCGCUAAUAGAUGAGCCUAAGUCGGAUUAGCUAGUUGGUGGGGUAAAGGCCUACCAAGGCGACGAUCUGUAGCGGGUCUGAGAGGAUGAUCCGCCACACUGGGACUGAGACACGGCCAGACUCCUACGGGA
RNAcentral lists this ribosomal RNA (304 nucleotides) under Acinetobacter baumannii. RNAcentral's name for it is "bacterial SSU rRNA". It matches the Rfam family "Bacterial small subunit ribosomal RNA", at positions 39 to 346 of the family's 1533-position model. The record is from RNAcentral. Lineage: Bacteria; Pseudomonadati; Pseudomonadota; Gammaproteobacteria; Moraxellales; Moraxellaceae.